RNAcentral lists this ribosomal RNA (119 nucleotides) under Triticum aestivum (bread wheat). The record is from RNAcentral. RNAcentral also lists the same sequence under 2 other names. Lineage: Eukaryota; Viridiplantae; Streptophyta; Magnoliopsida; Poales; Poaceae.
GGAUGCGAUCAUACCAGCACUAAAGCAUCGGAUCCCAUCAGAACUCCAAAGUUAAGCGUGCUUGGGCGAGAGUAGUACUAGGAUGGGUGACCUCCUGGGAAGUCCUCGUGUUGCAUUCC